GUUAAGCAGUAAAUGUGGAGCCGUAGCGAAAGCGAGUCUGAAUAGGGCGUUUAGUAUUUGGUCGUAGACCCGAAACCAGGUGAUCUACCCUUGGUCAGGUUGAAGUUCAGGUAACACUGAAUGGAGGACCGAACCGACUUACGUUGAAAAGUGAGCGGAUGAACUGAGGGUAGCGGAGAAAUUCCAAUCGAACCUGGAGAUAGCUGGUUCUCUCCGAAAUAGCUUUAGGGCUAGCCUCAAGUGAUGAUUAUUGGAGGUAGAGCACUGUUUGGACGAGGGGCCCCUCUCGGGUUACCGAAUUCAGACAAACUCCGAAUGCCAAUUAAUUUAACUUGGGAGUCAGAACAUGGGUGAUAAGGUCCGUGUUCGAAAGGGAAACAGCCCAGAUCACCAGCUAAGGUCCCAAAAUAUAUGUUAAGUGGAAAAGGAUGUGGCGUUGCCCAGACAACUAGGAUGUUGGCUUAGAAGCAGCCAUCAUUUAAAGAGUGCGUAAUAGCUCACUAGUCGAGUGACACUGCGCCGAAAAUGUACCGGGGCUAAACAUAUUACCGAAGCUGUGGAUUGUCCUUUGGACAAUGGUAGGAGAGCGUUCUAAGGGCGUUGAAGCAUGAUCGUAAGGACAUGUGGAGCGCUUAGAAGUGAGAAUGCCGGUGUGAGUAGCGAAAGACGGGUGAGAAUCCCGUCCACCGAUUGACUAAGGUUUCCAGAGGAAGGCUCGUCCGCUCUGGGUUAGUCGGGUCCUAAGCUGAGGCCGACAGGCGUAGGCGAUGGAUAACAGGUUGAUAUUCCUGUACCACCUAUAAUCGUUUUAAUCGAUGGGGGGACGCAGUAGGAUAGGCGAAGCGUGCGAUUGGAUUGCACGUCUAAGCAGUAAGGCUGAGUAUUAGGCAAAUCCGGUACUCGUUAAGGCUGAGCUGUGAUGGGGAGAAGACAUUGUGUCUUCGAGUCGUUGAUUUCACACUGCCGAGAAAAGCCUCUAGAUAGAAAAUAGGUGCCCGUACCGCAAACCGACACAGGUAGUCAAGAUGAGAAUUCUAAGGUGAGCGAGCGAACUCUCGUUAAGGAACUCGGCAAAAUGACCCCGUAACUUCGGGAGAAGGGGUGCUCUUUAGGGUUAACGCCCAGAAGAGCCGCAGUGAAUAGGCCCAAGCGACUGUUUAUCAAAAACACAGGUCUCUGCUAAACCGUAAGGUGAUGUAUAGGGGCUGACGCCUGCCCGGUGCUGGAAGGUUAAGAGGAGUGGUUAGCUUCUGCGAAGCUACGAAUCGAAGCCCCAGUAAACGGCGGCCGUAACUAUAACGGUCCUAAGGUAGCGAAAUUCCUUGUCGGGUAAGUUCCGACCCGCACGAAAGGCGUAACGAUUUGGGCACUGUCUCAACGAGAGACUCGGUGAAAUCAUAGUACCUGUGAAGAUGCAGGUUACCCGCGACAGGACGGAAAGACCCCGUGGAGCUUUACUGUAGCCUGAUAUUGAAAUUCGGCACAGCUUGUACAGGAUAGGUAGGAGCCUUUGAAACGUGAGCGCUAGCUUACGUGGAGGCGCUGGUGGGAUACUACCCUAGCUGUGUUGGCUUUCUAACCCGCACCACUUAUCGUGGUGGGAGACAGUGUCAGGCGGGCAGUUUGACUGGGGCGGUCGCCUCCUAAAAGGUAACGGAGGCGCUCAAAGGUUCCCUCAGAAUGGUUGGAAAUCAUUCAUAGAGUGUAAAGGCAUAAGGGAGCUUGACUGCGAGACCUACAAGUCGAGCAGGGUCGAAAGACGGACUUAGUGAUCCGGUGGUUCCGCAUGGAAGGGCCAUCGCUCAACGGAUAAAAGCUACCCCGGGGAUAACAGGCUUAUCUCCCCCAAGAGUUCACAUCGACGGGGAGGUUUGGCACCUCGAUGUCGGCUCAUCGCAUCCUGGGGCUGUAGUCGGUCCCAAGGGUUGGGCUGUUCGCCCAUUAAAGCGGUACGCGAGCUGGGUUCAGAACGUCGUGAGACAGUUCGGUCCCUAUCCGUCGUGGGCGUAGGAAAUUUGAGAGGAGCUGUCCUUAGUACGAGAGGACCGGGAUGGACAUACCUCUGGUGUACCAGUUGUCGUGCCAACGGCAUAGCUGGGUAGCUAUGUGUGGACGGGAUAAGUGCUGAAAGCAUCUAAGCAUGAAGCCCCCCUCAAGAUGAGAUUUCCCAACUUCGGUUAUAAGAUCCCUCAAAGAUGAUGAGGUUAAUAGGUUCGAGGUGGAAGCAUGGUGACAUGUGGAGCUGACGAAUACUAAUCGAUCGAAGACUUAAUCAA
This 2276-nucleotide ribosomal RNA is filed under the name Staphylococcus aureus. RNAcentral's name for it is "partial 23S ribosomal RNA". It matches the Rfam family "Bacterial large subunit ribosomal RNA", at positions 645 to 2925 of the family's 2925-position model. The record is from RNAcentral. Lineage: Bacteria; Bacillati; Bacillota; Bacilli; Caryophanales; Staphylococcaceae.